GGAAAGGCGCGCGAUACAGGGUGACAGCCCCGUACACAAAAAUGCACAUGCUGUGAGCUCGAUGAGUAGGGCGGGACACGUGGUAUCCUGUCUGAAUAUGGGGGGACCAUCCUCCAAGGCUAAAUACUCCUGACUGACCGAUAGUGAACCAGUACCGUGAGGGAAAGGCGAAAAGAACCCCGGCGAGGGGAGUGAAAAAGAACCUGAAACCGUGUACGUACAAGCAGUGGGAGCACGCUUAGGCGUGUGACUGCGUACCUUUUGUAUAAUGGGUCAGCGACUUAUAUUCUGUAGCAAGGUUAACCGAAUAGGGGAGCCGAAGGGAAACCGAGUCUUAACUGGGCGUUAAGUUGCAGGGUAUAGACCCGAAACCCGGUGAUCUAGCCAUGGGCAGGUUGAAGGUUGGGUAACACUAACUGGAGGACCGAACCGACUAAUGUUGAAAAAUUAGCGGAUGACUUGUGGCUGGGGGUGAAAGGCCAAUCAAACCGGGAGAUAGCUGGUUCUCCCCGAAAGCUAUUUAGGUAGCGCCUCGUGAAUUCAUCUCCGGGGGUAGAGCACUGUUUCGGCAAGGGGGUCAUCCCGACUUACCAACCCGAUGCAAACUGCGAAUACCGGAGAAUGUUAUCACGGGAGACACACGGCGGGUGCUAACGUCCGUCGUGAAGAGGGAAACAACCCAGACCGCCAGCUAAGGUCCCAAAGUCAUGGUUAAGUGGGAAACGAUGUGGGAAGGCCCAGACAGCCAGGAUGUUGGCUUAGAAGCAGCCAUCAUUUAAAGAAAGCGUAAUAGCUCACUGGUCGAGUCGGCCUGCGCGGAAGAUGUAACGGGGCUAAACCAUGCACCGAAGCUGCGGCAGCGACACUAUGUGUUGUUGGGUA
RNAcentral lists this ribosomal RNA (882 nucleotides) under Escherichia coli. RNAcentral's name for it is "partial 23S ribosomal RNA". It matches the Rfam family "Bacterial large subunit ribosomal RNA", at positions 344 to 1230 of the family's 2925-position model. The record is from RNAcentral. Lineage: Bacteria; Pseudomonadati; Pseudomonadota; Gammaproteobacteria; Enterobacterales; Enterobacteriaceae.